This is a long non-coding RNA of Ictalurus punctatus (channel catfish), 1520 nucleotides long. The record is from Ensembl. Lineage: Eukaryota; Metazoa; Chordata; Actinopteri; Siluriformes; Ictaluridae.
UCCGCUUCUGCGUCACUAAAUGGUAAAAUGGUAAAUGGUGCACUUAUAUAGCGCUUUUACCCAAAGCGCUUUACACUGUGUCUCAUUCACCCAUCAGUGGUAGCAGAGCUGCCAUGCAAGGCGCUAACUUCCCAUCGGGAGCAACUUGGGGUUCAGUGUCUUGCCCAAGGACACUUCGGCAUGUGGAGACAUGCUGGCCGGGAAUCGAACGGCCAACCCUACGAUUAGUGGACAACCCGCUCUACCACCUGAUCCACAGCCGCCCCUGUCACUGUGCAGCUAUCUGUUACAAAUGAAUGGGAAAAUAUCCUUGGCAUCCCUGCAAUUCAAGGAUGUUGUAAUUGCCAUGCUGAGGGAGGUGUUGACUAAAUUAGAGAUGGUGCUGGACCAACAAACCAAUGAGAUUGCUUCAACUACAGGUGUUCCAGGUGCAGUCUUUGGAAAUUGAUGAAGAUUUACUGCCCCUGCAAGACCUUCCUCGACUGUGUAGUCUGGAGCAAAGGAUGCAACAGAGCCCAGAUUACAAGCAAAAACUGGUGAGAAUUUUUUUCUUUUUUUGUUAACAAUUGCUUGCACAAUUACACAGCUACUGAGAGUGUUUGUUUUCUCAAGGUGACACACUCGUACUCAAAGCACAACAUUCAACACCACUUUGAUAUGAGGGAACAGUUAUGACCUAAUCUUUGGUAGAGGAGCAAAACAUGGAAAGCACACAGGGCAGGGUAACUGCAGGAGUAGUGAGAAGCACUGACAAAGUUGACAAGGCAAUAAGUGCUUAUUAAUUAUUUAUAUUUUAUAUUAUAUUAUUGUUUUAAAAAUCAUCGGUUUCGAGUAAACUGGUUGGCGCUUAUUGACAGGGCGGAUGUGCUCGACUGCACCUGGCGCAUAUUGAAGAGGGUGAUUGCUAACUCCCUGGCAAAGAACCUCAAUUGGAGGGGAGUCAAUGGAAAGACUUCACUGGCCACUCUCGAACUUGGAGAGGUCAUGAUUGAAACCUCUUCACGGCUAAAGCUGCAGAGAUGGAGGUUGUGGGGACCAUGAAGAGGUGGCUCCAGCUGGCAUCAGAUCGAGAGUGUGGGCGCAAGAGAAGACUUUUGAAAACUUUUGCAAAAAGAAGGUAUUUAGAGUGUUUUAACUGUGGUGUCUUUGUUAAUUUGUUAAAAUGUUCAUAUUAUAGUCUAUUUUUGAUUGUUUAUAAAAGUCCUUGCUGUUUUUAAGUGGUUGAAAUUGUGUGUGUGUUGGUAGCUGGGUGGCUAUACAGUUGCGGUCGGAAGUUUACAUACCCCUUGCAGAAUCUACAAAAUCUUAAUACUCUUAACAAAAUAAGAUUGAUCAUAAAAAUCCUAAGUUUCUUAUUUAGUACCGCCAUGAAUAAGCUAUUUCACAUAACAGAUGUUUACAUAUAGUCCACAAGAUAAUAGCUGAAUUAAUCAAAAUUACCCCAUUCAAAAGUUUACACACGUUUGAUUCUUAAUACUGUGUGUCGUUACCUGAACGACAGGUCCUUCACAUACUUUUUU